Molecule: ribosomal RNA, 1316 nt
Filed under: Orthoperus sp. CO607
Lineage: Eukaryota; Metazoa; Arthropoda; Insecta; Coleoptera; Corylophidae
Description: eukaryotic LSU rRNA
Rfam family: Eukaryotic large subunit ribosomal RNA
Source: RNAcentral
AAGGAUUUUUUUAGUAGCGGCGAGCGAACAAAAAACAGCUCAGCACUUAAUCUUACAAUUUUUACUAAUUGUCAAGAAAUGUAGUGUUUAGAAAAAUUUAUUAACUCAAAUUAUGUAUUAUUUUAAGUUUAUCUUGAACGGGGCCAUAACCCAUAGAAGGUGAAAGGCCGGUAAAAAUAAAUACAUAUUUUAAGUAAAUUUUUCUUAGAGUCGGGUUGCUUGAGAGUGCAAUCCUAAGUUGGUGGUAAACUUCAUCUAAAGCUAAAUAUAACUACGAGAUCGAUAGCGAACAAGUACCGUGAGGGAAAGUUGAAAAGAACUUUGAAGAGAGAGUUCAAUAGUACGUGAAACUGUUUAAGGGUAAACCUGAAAAAUCCAAAUAAAUGAAAAGAAAGAUUCAUUCGUGUUUGAGUUUUAUUGUAUUAGAUGGUCUUAUUGACAAAUAUUAUUUUCGGAUAAUGGUUUGCAAGCAUUUGAUACAUUUUAUAGAACCAAACGUGUGCAUUUCUUUCUUAGUAAUAUGUUGCGAUUUAUUAAGUAUCAAUUUAAGACUUUGUGAAAAGUUUUAAAAUAAUUUUUUUGUUUUAAAUUUCAUAGAGAUUCUAAUUGAUUAGCUUGAUAAUAAAAAAGUUAGUAUUAAAUCACGUUUAACGUGUUUGUUUUUCAACAAUUUGGUUUAAUUUUGUUAUUAUUUGGAUUUAAUGCCAAAUUUAACAUUAAACUGAUGUUAGUUGGAAAUAAAUCAAACAGAUUUAAUUAUACUAAUCUGCAACAAAUAUGUUUUAGAUAAUUUCAGGACCCGUCUUGAAACACGGACCAAGGAGUCUAGCAUGUGCGCAAGUUAUUAGGAUUUAUUAAACCUAAAAGCGUAAUUAAUGUAAAAAUUUGUUUUUUGCAAAUUAAGGGAAAAUGAGUGAGUUUUUUUUAAAAGCUUACUCCGCAUUCCCGGAGCACUUGAAUUUUUCUUUGAAAAAUUGGGUGCAUCAAUAGCGUACACGCUGGGACCCGAAAGAUGGUGAACUAUGCCUGGUCAGAACGAAGUCAGGGGAAACUCUGAUGGAGGUUCGUAGCGAUUCUGACGUGCAAAUCGAUCGUCAGAACUGGGUAUAGGGGCGAAAGACUAAUCGAACCAUCUAGUAGCUGGUUCCCUCCGAAGUUUCCCUCAGGAUAGCUGGUGCUUAGUUUCGGAGUUUCAUCCGGUAAAGCGAAUGAUUAGAGGCAUUGGGGUCGAAACGACCUCAACCUAUUCUCAAACUUUAAAUGGGUGAGAUCUUCGGCUUUCUUAAAUUGAAGCCGUAAGAAAAUUAGAAUCAAAG